Long non-coding RNA from Cyanistes caeruleus (blue tit), 7637 nucleotides. RefSeq lists it as uncharacterized. The record is from RefSeq and is a predicted model, not a curated record. Lineage: Eukaryota; Metazoa; Chordata; Aves; Passeriformes; Paridae.
CAGUGAGCAGCCCGGUCCCGGGGAGCUGCCCGGCCAGCGCGGGUCUCGCCCCGCAGGAGCCGCUCCCCGCAGGAGGGUCCCGCAGCUCCGCGCUAUUUACCUUUCCCCCACAAGGUGGUAGCGCAGCAUCAGAGUCAUGUAAACACGGGGCUUGGCUGAGCUCUCGCCCUCUCACCUGGCACACUCCUGCUGCUGGACAAACGCGGGCAAGUCUCUUCCUUUUCACUAGCUUUCUAAUUAAAGAACAGCCCGAUACAUCUGUGAGAAUAAAUAUUUGAGAAUAAAGAAGAUAUAUCUAUUCCAUGCCCCAAAGGGCUGUGUGGAAAGAAUGAGUGAUAGGGAUAAAAUCAUGUAAUCCAGCCUGGAGAUUUUGACUUGUUUCCAGAACUGGGGAGGCCAGAUAUUAUCAAAUGCUGCUCCAGGGGAGUGAACCAGUCUGGGCUGCAGUGGUCCCUAUCAUCACACUCGAGUGGUUGCAGAGUGUGACAGAUUGUCCUUUCAAGGCCCACCAGAAUCCAUGUCCAGCAGCUUGUAGGACAAUAAGUUGGGCAUCUCUCUAGUGAAAUAUUUGAGCUCUUUUCUAAAACUAGUUUAAGUGACAGUUUUCUCCUUGGCACUACUCCUACUGCUACUGGUUUCAGACAGCCCUAUCUGAGACCUUCUCUGGCUUUCCACCGCUUGUUGCUACACACCACACCUGGCAGCACAACUAUGACAGAGCAGGAAACUACUUUGCCAUUAUUAUUCCCUCCAUUAUGCAAACUGCUUUUCCUCAACCAAAUUCCAGCAGUCCAACACAGAUUCAUGAACUGCUGUGCUAUCAAAAGCAAGCAGACAUUCUAUCUACAGCAGAAGAAGUGGGCAGAAACAUUAAACCAGAUCUUAGCCCAUGAAUCCAUUUUGUCAUUGACCUGUGCUUAGUUUCAGAUGUUGAACAAGCUCUCCUGCCAGGAUUUGUUUCUUAUUUUUCAGUCUGUUGUACUACAUGAGAUUCGGACAUUGCUGAACUCGAGCAUGUAGGAGCAGAUGAUCCAACUGAGAUUAUCACAGGAAGUCCAAGAGGAAUUUAAUCCAAUCCUUUGAACUUUCAAGUGGAACAGAGGUCUUGGGUCCAAAAUAGCAAAAUGCAUGCACUCCACAACAGGACAACUUUCCCUCAUCAGUGCACUGCUCUGCAGAGGCUUUCAGAAAGAAGUAUUUCAGCUUCACUACUUUCCCCUGACCACUGGGAUGUUCAGAAGAGAAGCAUUUGAACUGGUACCUUGGAGACUUUGAACUGUAUAUCAAAAGAAAAGAAAUGGAGAACAAGAAAGCAAAGUUAUCACUAGCUAUUCUACCCAAUGGCAAAUGGAAGGAUCAAGCCAGCCAGGUAAAGCCUACUAUGUCUGCACAUUUAUACUAAAGGGACAGCGACCUUCUGUCCCCAGAAGCAAGUUCUUUUUCUUCUUGUAGACACCUCAUUUAAUCUUGGAACAUAAAUAAUAAUCCUGAACUUCCUGCAUUUCACCCUAGAUCUACUACUGCCAUCAAUGGGAGCUUUGAAAGAGGAAGGCAUAGACACUGGGAUAAAGCUUUAGGCUGAAAGAUCUAUGUCCAAGUCCAUGCCAUUUUCUACAUCUGAAAAGUGCCCACAAUUUUAUGGGUAACCUACAAAAACAAUUGAAGUAACUGUGGUGGUCGUACAUUGUUGAGAUUGUUUUCUUUCCACUCCCCAACCUCAUAAUGUGAACAGAGCCAUGACAAUGAUCUAUUAGAGCUGGGGCCAGACUCGCUACAGAAAACUUAAUAUGACCUGAGAACCAAAAUGCAGUCACAGCCCCAAACAGCUCAGGGGUGAGAUGGAUUCUUUGUCCAUCCUGUAUCCUAAAUGCAUCCAAAUUUUCCAGUAUCCAUAUAUCUAUGUGGACCACUUAACUCCCUCUUGAACUCUCCUUAGUGCUUUAAAUUGCUUGUCAGCCACAUGUGAAAAUAUCUAACUCAUCUAAAAUUUACAUUCCAGGGUUUUCUAUAACUGAUUUCUCUCAGCAGUAAGGCUUCUUCUGAUCUCAGUGCCACUGAAAUGGUGGGACUGAAUUUUGCACAGAUACUCAGAAUUGUGUGUGGAGCAGAAAUGUAAUGAGCCCUGGGUCAGAAUUUCAGCAGUCCCUUAUUCAGGGCAUCAGCAUGGGGGAGGGCUAGCUGAGAUAAAAAGGUAAUCUGAUUGCUGCUGCUGGCAAGAGGACAGAUGUCAACAUUGCCUCUCCUUUUCACGGAAACAUACCUGGCUUUAUGAAGAAUAGGUUAGCAAAUAUUUUAAUACAAAUAGCAACCUCAGCAGAGCUGCCAAAGCAGGCUCCAAAGAGACUGACUUGUUUACAGUCUGGACCAGUGCCUUAAAACCUGACGUGCUUAUUCAACAGAAAAUUAACCCCAAAACAGGUAUCAUCAUUACUGUAGGGAGAAGCUCCAGAAAGAUAAUAUCCUAACUCACUCCAGCUGAACUCAGGACAUUGUCCACUUUUUUAUCACAUCCAGUGCCCUUGUAGUCGUUCAGAAUAAUCAAGCAAAUAAAGAAGUGAGGUAUAUCACAUGUGAUAGCUUGGGUCACUGGGACUGCAUGGAUAUUUGGAUCUGGCCCAACAUCCUGCCUUCACUUGAAUUACUACUGGAAUCUAACUUCUUGCAUUGUUUUAAGAGACUAAAUUGUUCUCUCUAUGUACUUUGGUCAUCCCAACUCAGAUGUUAUCUUUUUCUUUCCCACUCUAGUUUUUGGCCACAAAAAAUAUACAUGAAGAGUGCUGAGAAGAGCCUUUCUUUCCCAGCUGCAGUGUGUGUAUAUGUGUCUGUGUUACUGUUCUCUCUGAAAAGCCUUUGACAAAAAGUGCAUUUAUGAGGUCAUUUGUUUAAGAGGUUACUAGUGAUCCCCAUGAAAAAGAAUUCUGAUAUAGAUUUGACCUUGGAAGCAGCACUAGUAAUACCAAACUGGUGUGGUAAAAAAUGAGAGAAGAAAUUGUUUCCAAAGCUACCGUAGACGUGCAGUGACAGAAGAAACUUUCACAGGGAAUGGUUACCGCUCUGGAAAAGUCACUCCACAGAGGUGUCAUAAUCUUUAGCUAUCAAAUUUCUUGGAAGAUGGAGAGAAAGACUGGUCCUGGAAUUAUUAUGCAAAGGCCUGUAAUACUGGAUUUACCAACAGAGACCUCGGUCAGCUUUCAUUGCAUAAGUCAGUUCAUUUUGAGCAAGCCCAUGGGGGAACAAGAGAGACAGCUGAAGAGGGACAGGUAUGAGCCAGGGCUUUCCUGUGUGAGCUGGUGCCAGAACUGUGUCAGACCACACAUUGCCCUGCAUCCCAGCUCUUUGUGAGAAACUGACCUCAGAGCUCCAUAGAACCUGGAAACUAAAGUAACUGGAUUUGGAUUUCAUGCAGGAUUUAAUUUUUUCCCCACAAAACUUUUACUGAAACUAAAAAUAAAAGGUGUUUUUUUUUCUAUCCCAGACCAUUGGUAUCCCAGACUACUGGGAUAAUACCACUAAUAUUAAGAGACAGUAGUUGUGAUCUAGAAGAAAGGGUGAACAGAGGGAGUUAUUGCUUGAGAUGGCCAAAGGGAAUCAUAAUUUGUGAUGGCCACCCUUGAUGAGCAGCAUGGAGGGACAUGACUUCCUUGUUCAACUAUUCUUUCAGUGAAUUUGUAGCUGGACUUUCUGGGGCUGCAGCAGCUUGCCAUUUCUUGUAGGGAUGGAAUAACAAUCCCUGUCAAAGCGGUGAACUCUUGAAGAAUGCAAAACUGAAGCAACCUGCAGGUAUCAGGCCACAGGAAGUUUUGUGGAUCAAACACGUAAUCCAGCUGGGAUUUCGUGAGAACUGGAAGCACAUACUUGCUUCCACUGAAAAUACCUGCCAGCGCCUCCUUCAUACUGAAAGUAGAACAGAAUGCAAUGACAACUGAAAGGUUUCUCACAGUAACCUAAAAAGCUUUUAAAAAUAAUUGUAUCCCUUUUGUAGAAUUCUGUAACUGUUUAAAAACAAAACAAGAAAAAACCCAACACUGCUUCCUCAUGUGUCUGUAUUUUAGAGUACUAUCCACAGAAACUUAUUAGAGCCAACCCCACUAAAUUCCUUACAAUUGUCCCACAAGGGUGGUUCUCAAAGUAAAAAAGGAGAAAAAUGCUGGCAGUUUAUGUAAUUUCUUUUUCACUUAUACAAUCUGAGAAGAUAUCUAAGAAUUUUAGUGGUGUACAAGUCUCUGGUGACAAGAAUCAGUCUGGAAGAGCCUUCUCUACAAACUCAGCCUUGUUUAUCUGCCUGUCCUCUUGUACACCCUUGUCCCAUCUCUCUCUCUGCUCCCGAGAGGACAAAGAGAAAAAUACAUCCUCUUGAAAAUCAACAGACUGAACUAGAAUGCAGUACUUGAAUGACUGAAAAAAACCCAAACCCCUUAUACAUUUUAUAAGAGUUGAUUCUGGGUCUGUUUUGCUUGAAAGAAAUAUUUGCCUACUGAAAAGUCUGGCUGGGUUCAAGUGGCAUAGUGAAAUGUUCCCUAAAUAAUCCUAACUCAAUUCCCUGCCUUUCCUAUAAGAAGCCCAGUUACUUUAACCUUUUCUAUCAAAACUCAGGAGCAUAGUCCCCUCCUCUCUCCUUUGCACCACACAUAACCUGGAAUUCUGGACCUUCCAGUGCCCAACUUGUACCCUUCUUGACAUUUAGUGUGUUAAUGACUCUAUCCCUGUGCUAUUUUUCUUCCUUACAUGUCUGAUACAAAAUGCUAAGCAUCCUUGUGACCUUUAAACAUCCUGCACUGUUCUCCAGCUCCUCUUUACAUGAUCCAGACUCAUCUCCACCUCCUGUUAGAAAAUCCUGUGCAUGCACCUGGCUUGAUUACAUCAGCAUAUCUGCACACAGCUGAGCUAACACAUUUCAAUGAAUCUACUGCAGAAGCAAAAGGAAAUGAAUACCUCUCCUUCUGUCUGCAAUCCAACAGUUGUUCCACCAUGGUAUCAAUCUGGCAUUAAAUGAGAGUUAUCUGUAAAUGCAUUUCACUGCUACCUGGAUGCCAUGAUGUGGAGCUGGAAAAGAACCAGCCUGACAAGAUUUUGAUGGUGGCCACUAAAAAGUAAAACUAUUUAAUUUCCCCACACUUGAAACAUCACCUCUUUUUGGUAUUAUUCUUUUUCCUUCCUUUUUUACUAGAUGAAGUAGCCACAUAUUCCAGGAGUAAUAUGUGAGUAAAGCAAAAGUUGUAUGAGACACAUACCUCUCCCUGAAAGUUGCUACAGAAUUCACACUACAUGCAGACAGCCCAGCAGUUGUAUUUCUCAAGAAUACUGCUGCACAUAUGCAUUUUUCAAUAUUAUUUUACUGUACAUGAGUAGGUGAUGCCUCUUUCUUUAACCUGGACAAUGAGCACUCAGGAAUCACCAGAAAGAGUCACAAGAGUCAGAUAAAUGCAUAUGCACAGCAGUGCAUUUGAUCUGUAAUCCUGGGUUUCACUGUGCAUCCACAGACCUCUUUCCCUCAAGGGCAGAGGCCUAAUGGAUUGCAAGGUUCUGUAAAUAACUUCUGAUUUCUGCUGAGCAGGACAGACCAGUGAACAGAAACACGUGUUCAUCACAGGCACUGGUUAGCUGAAGAGAGCAGCACUGUAGGAAAACAAGUGUUACUAGGAAUAAAAAGUCUGCUCCAGAUUCUUGUUCUGAACUUGACACCAGAGUACCAGGAAAGUCUCUGUGGGAGAGUUUGGAAGACUUCAAUUCAUGUCUGGUGGAGCGAACAGCAGUUGUAAAAUCUCAAGAGAUGAGGGCCACCCAGAGUGUGUCAGUUUAUCAACUGGACAGCUGUGGUGUGUCUACAAAUGCCAAACCAUAAGCACAUUGGCAGGGGAAGCAGGAAUUGUGGCCAGCACACAGAGAAGUGGCUCCUGAGUUUCUGAAUUGCCUGCCUCUCUGAGCACACUUAUGGUCCAGGCCAGCCUGCCAGCUCCAGCAAGACUACUGUGCAGCAGCCCAGGGACAUAAACACACCUCACACCUGGCUCCACAGCCUUUGGGAAGCGCUCUGGAUUACAGAGGAUGGCAGUUUGGGAAUACUGCAGCACUCAGCUCAAGUCCCUGCACUGCACAGGGCAGCAAGAUAACAGUGUAAAUGGAAAGACCUUAAAGCCUUAUUGCUCUCCAGCUCAAGAAGCAGCCUGUUGGGAGUUAUGAGCAGCAUAAGAAAGAGACUUUCUGGUGGUAAAGAAACCACUGAGAGACUUGAUCAAAUGCUUUGGGAUCAUGGGACUGGGAGCAGAGCAGUAAAGCCACUUUUAUGCAUCAAAGUGGUCUUACCAAAACAAAGAGAGCCACGGGUUUUCCAUGCAAAAGAGCCACUUGUUGCUGAUGGCCAUAUUUUAUACCCAGUGGAAAGCUGAAAGUCAAAACAAAUUACUCAGGAGAAGAAGGCAGAGAAUCAUGCCUCAAAGAGAAAUUUGGACUACAGUGACAAGAAAACAAAUGUCAACAACAAAUGCCCGAGGAAAGUGAACAUGAAGUAGAUUAAAAAUUGAAUGAAGUGUUAUCUAAAAUAUACGUAGUCUUUUAUAUCAGUCUUAGGUGUCCUUCAGGUACUUUAUAAGCUGUAAUAUUUAUGAUUAUUGGUUAUUUAUAGUUGUAGCAGUAGCAACAUUAACGUAUCAAUAGGCUGUGAAGAGAUAAACUCUAUUCCUAGUGUAUUCCUAAUGGAGUUCUAGUAAAUCCUAGAGCAUUCCACCUAAUCCAUUCUGAAGACAUUGACUAGGGCUUAGUUUGUCAGGAUUUUAAGCUCCUAACACUAGAAGCAGGGACAGAGGAUUAUCCAGGCUUCUUAAAAUCCUCUAACCAGUUAAAAGUUUGGCAAAGGAAAGGAAAAAUAGAUUCUGUUGUUGCUGAUCCUCAGGCCUGGCUUCAUAGGCUGCUAGAUAUUCUGGCCAUAAGCUUUCUCUUGCUUUUCUCUACUUUCUUUGGAGAAGAAUACAAACCAGCAGGCUGGGAUGCACCCUGGAAAUGCCUGAAGCUCUUCUGAGGUUAAGAGAGGGAAGGGGGUCUUUAGAGACUGACCAAAGAGCCAGUCUGCUUCUCCACUGACUUUGCUUUCCUAGUGAAGAACCAGUGUCCCAAGAAUCCUUGAAGUAACAUAGACACUUCUUCCCUGCAAAUAUGGGAAAACAGCCUUGGGGUAUUUAUAUCAACCAGGAAUCAAGGGCUGAUGGUGCUGGAUCCUAUUGAUAAAAGCUUGCAGCAAUGACUCCAGUGUCCCAAACUACAGCUUACGGUGACCACCAUGACCACAACACAGGGAACAGCAUAGACGGAUUUAAAUUUAUUUCCCAGAGAGAAGACAAAUCAACACGUGGUCCAUAUCAGGUGCAUUGAACUAAAUGACCAUUAAAGGUCCCUUCCAAUCCAAACCAUUAUGUGAUUCUAUGACCUCUCUAGUUCUUCAAUAGGCAUUCUGGAGCUAACAGUUUGAGAGAUGGGCACCAGAGCCCAUUAGGAAGCAAGUGGUGAUUUGGGAUAUCGGGGAACCUCGAGGUGUGUGCUGCUGAGAGAAUGAGGGCAGCCCCGACAGUUCUGCUUUUCUGUUCCUCUACACCUGUGAGAUUUUGUGUGUAUUUCUUAAUAACUGAGCCCUGGCCCAGGCAGCU